GACGAACGCUGGCGGCGUGCUUAACACAUGCAAGUCGAGCGAGAAAGCGGCUUCGGCCGUGAGUACAGCGGCGAACGGGUGAGUAACACGUGGGCAACCUGCCCCAGAGACUGGGAUAACGUCCCGAAAGGGACGCUAAUACCGGAUAACGCGUGGCCUGCCAAGUGGGCCACGCCAAAAGGUAGCUUCGGCUUCUGCUCUAGGAUGGGCCCGCGCCGGAUUAGCUUGUUGGUGAGGUAACGGCUCACCAAGGCGACGAUCCGUAGCUGGUCUGAGAGGACGAUCAGCCACACUGGGACUGAGACACGGCCCAGACUCCUACGGGAGGCAGCAGUGGGGAAUCUUGCGCAAUGGGCGAAAGCCUGACGCAGCAACGCCGCGUGAGCGAAGACGGCCUUCGGGUUGUAAAGUUCUGUCAGGAGGGACGAAGCCACUCAGGUGAAUAGCCGAGAGGGUGACGGUACCUCCAGAGGAAGCCCCGGCUAACUACGUGCCUGCAGCCGCCGCGG
This 509-nucleotide ribosomal RNA is filed under the name uncultured bacterium. RNAcentral describes it as "partial 16S ribosomal RNA". It matches the Rfam family "Bacterial small subunit ribosomal RNA", at positions 28 to 523 of the family's 1533-position model. The record is from RNAcentral.